RNAcentral lists this long non-coding RNA (266 nucleotides) under Phoenix dactylifera (date palm). RNAcentral's name for it is "long non-coding RNA (PDAC_LNC009388)". Lineage: Eukaryota; Viridiplantae; Streptophyta; Magnoliopsida; Arecales; Arecaceae. The record is from RNAcentral.
UCAUUAGUCGACUCCCUCAGUGAAAGAUGGAAACACAAUUUCAGAAGAACAAUUCAUGAGUCGACUCCUACAGAAAAAGGCAGAAGCUCAUUUUUAGAUGAAUAGUAGAUGAGCCGACUCCAACAUUCUGUGAGUCGACUCUCUCAGAAAAAGCAGAAACAUCUUUUAGAUGAACAAUAGAUGAGCCGACUCCAAUAGUCCGUGAGUCAACUCUCUCAGAGAAAGCCAGAAAUCUAGUUUUGAAGAUCUCAAGCUCGAGUUGACUC